Long non-coding RNA from Micropterus salmoides (largemouth bass), 224 nucleotides. RefSeq lists it as uncharacterized. The record is from RefSeq and is a predicted model, not a curated record. The transcript has 2 exons. NCBI's taxonomy places the organism in Eukaryota, Metazoa, Chordata, Actinopteri, Centrarchiformes, Centrarchidae.
GUCAGAAGAGUUGCCUUAUCUUGUGUGUUUUGACUGUAAAGUGAAAACAAGCUUGAUAUUUAUUUAAUGAUGGUACAACUGUGGUCAGGACAGACAGUAAUGUGAUCUGCAUCAAGGCAUUAAGGACACUGUUCCCCCUUUGAAGACACCACAUCCCAGACGACUGAAGCUGGGGUCUCGUGUCAGCCUCCGGACCAACAUUACCCAGUAAAACAUGCACACUU